RNAcentral lists this ribosomal RNA (326 nucleotides) under uncultured eukaryote. RNAcentral's name for it is "partial 18S ribosomal RNA". It matches the Rfam family "Eukaryotic small subunit ribosomal RNA", at positions 1470 to 1796 of the family's 1831-position model. The record is from RNAcentral.
CCCUUAGAUGUUCUGGGCCGCACGCGCGCUACACUGAUGCAUUCAACGAGUCCAACCUUGACCGAGAGGUCCGGGUAAUCUUUGAAACUGCAUCGUGAUGGGGCUAGAUUAUUGCAAUUAUUAAUCUUCAACGAGGAAUGCCUAGUAAGCGCGAUUCAUCAAAUCGCGUUGAUUACGUCCCUGCCCUUUGUACACACCGCCCGUCGCUCCUACCGAUUGAGUGUGUUGGUGAGGAGUUUGGAUUGGCCUCGGAAGGUGGUUCGCCACCGUCCGUAGCUGAGAAGUUCUCCAAACCGCCCCACUUAGAGGAAGGAGAAGUCGUAACA